UACGUAGGGUGCAAGCGUUUAAUCGGAAUUACUGGGCGUAAAGCGUGCGCAGGCGGUUAUGCAAGACAGAUGUGAAAUCCCCGGGCUCAACCUGGGAACUGCAUUUGUGACUGCAUGACUAGAGUACGGCAGAGGGGGAUGGAAUUCCGCGUGUAGCAGUGAAAUGCGUAGAUAUGCGGAGGAACACCGAUGGCGAAGGCAAUCCCCUGGGCCUGUACUGACGCUCAUGCACGAAAGCGUGGGGAGCAAACAGG
Molecule: ribosomal RNA, 254 nt
Filed under: uncultured bacterium
Lineage: Bacteria
Description: partial 16S ribosomal RNA
Rfam family: Bacterial small subunit ribosomal RNA
Source: RNAcentral